This 468-nucleotide ribosomal RNA is filed under the name uncultured bacterium. RNAcentral describes it as "partial 16S ribosomal RNA". It matches the Rfam family "Bacterial small subunit ribosomal RNA", at positions 28 to 507 of the family's 1533-position model. The record is from RNAcentral.
GACGAACGCUGGCGGCGUGCUUAACACAUGCAAGUCGAACGGAAAGGCCCUGCUUUUGUGGGGUGCUCGAGUGGCGAACGGGUGAGUAACACGUUAGUAACCUGCCCUUGACUUUGGGAUAACUUCAGGAAACUGGGGCUAAUACCGGAUAGGAGCUCCUGCUGCAUGGUGGGGGUUGGAAAGUUUCGGCGGUUGGGGAUGGACUCGCGGCUUAUCAGCUUGUUGGUGGGGUAGUGGCUUACCAAGGCUUUGACGGGUAGCCGGCCUGAGAGGGUGACCGGCCACAUUGGGACUGAGAUACGGACCAGACUCCUACGGGAGGCAGCAGUGGGGAAUAUUGCACAAUGGGCGGAAGCCUGAUGCAGCAACGCAGCGUGCGGGAUGACGGCCUUCGGGUUGUAAACCGCUUUCGCCUGUGACGAAGCGUGAGUGACGGUAAUGGGUAAAGAAGCACCGGCUAACUACGUG